This 1058-nucleotide long non-coding RNA is filed under the name Chrysemys picta bellii (western painted turtle). RNAcentral describes it as "lncRNA (ENSCPBG00000024530.1)". Lineage: Eukaryota; Metazoa; Chordata; Testudines; Emydidae. The record is from RNAcentral.
AUGUAGGGGGCUGGACUAGGUGACGUCUUGAGGUCCUUUCCAGCCUUGCAUAUCUGCGUCUGUAGAAUUUCCUGGUGUGUGUGUGUAUUUUUUAAGAAAGAAAACUGACUAAAAUGUAUUUGGUAUUCUUCCCCUCCCCCCCAAACCAGAGGGAAAGGUGUGUGUAUAUCUACAAUAAUACACUUUUCAGUUUGCCACUGUAGGCAGGCAUAGUGGAAAGGGGUUAAUGGUUUCACUUACAAUAUGAUGUAGUUCCAUUCAAGAUAUUCUCCACCCAGAGGUCUGACUAAUCCUCAGGGUAGUUAACUGUUAUCAUAAAUAGAUGCCAACUUCUGUUUAGAUUUUUACCUUUCUGCUGGUGUGAUUUAAUAUUAGAGACAUGACUGCCUCUUUUGCCCUGGUUCUGCUGAAUAUAUGGAGAAUCUUCACACACUUACUUAUGUGCUUAACUUUAAUGUGAAGAUACAUUGACUUUAUUUUGACUACUCCUGUAUUUUAAGGUAUGCAUGUUGGGCAUUUGCAAAAUUGAGCCAUAAGCCCCUAACUCUUUAAAAGCUGACAAGUUUUAGGCAUAGAUUUUACUAGCGUAGCAACAAAAAUACGAAGACGAAACUUUUAAGAGCUUCUUUGUCUUAUAUUACACUAAUGGAUAGAUAUUUGAAAGCAGUUCCAGGCAAAUUGUUUGUAAUAUUUCUCCAAGUUGCUCCAGUAUAAACUAUUACUUAAAACUUGAUGGGUUUUUUGUAUGUGUGCUUUAAAAUGGAAUAACAGGGCAAUUAUUUUAACCCAAAUUACAUGAUUCUUCUCAGCUGCCUCCUUAUCCUCUUGUUUGAAUCAAGCUAUUAGUCAACUGAAAGAUUUCAGCUACAUGUCUUAAUUUAUCUAGUAUCUCUUUAUAUUGGCGUUUUAUUAUAUUAAGUGCAACUCCCAUGCACUAACACAUUGGCCUGGUCCUCACUAACCCCCCACUUCGGACUAAGGUAUGCAAAUUCAACUACGUUAAUAACGUAGCUGAAUUCGAAGUACCUUAGUCCGAACUUACCGCGGGUCCAGAUGCG